This 2474-nucleotide ribosomal RNA is filed under the name Clostridioides difficile. RNAcentral's name for it is "bacterial LSU rRNA". It matches the Rfam family "Bacterial large subunit ribosomal RNA", at positions 398 to 2894 of the family's 2925-position model. Lineage: Bacteria; Bacillati; Bacillota; Clostridia; Peptostreptococcales; Peptostreptococcaceae. The record is from RNAcentral.
AGAUAUGAUCCAGAGUACCACGGGACACGUGAAACCCUGUGGGAAGCAGGAGGGACCACCCUCCAAGGCUAAAUACUACCUAGUGACCGAUAGCGUAUAGUACCGUGAGGGAAAGGUGAAAAGAACCCCGGGAGGGGAGUGAAAUAGAACCUGAAACCCUGCACUUACAAGCUGUGGAAGCACAUUUCUUGUGUGACCGCGUACUUUUUGUAGAACGGGCCAACGAGUUACGUUAAGUAGCAAGGUUAAGCACUUAAGGUGCGGAGCCGUAGCGAAAGCGAGUUUUAACUGAGCGUUCAGUUACUUGACGUAGACCCGAAACCGGGCGACCUACCCAUGAGCAGGAUGAAGCGAAAGUAAAAUUUCGUGGAGGUCCGAACCCACGAGCGUUGAAAAGCUCGGGGAUGACUUGUGGGUAGCGGUGAAAUUCCAAUCGAGCCCGGAGAUAGCUGGUUCUCCCCGAAAUAGCUUUAGGGCUAGCCUCAAGGUGAGAGAUACGGAGGUAGAGCACUGAAUGUCCUAGGGGGUAUUGCACCUACCGAAGACUAUCAAACUCCGAAUGCCGUCAUCUUAUACUUGGGAGUCAGACUGUGGGUGAUAAGAUUCAUAGUCGAAAGGGCAACAGCCCAGAUCGUCAGCUAAGGUCCCUAAAUGUAAGUUAAGUGGUAAAGGAUGUGGGAUUGCACAGACAACCAGGAUGUUGGCUUAGAAGCAGCCACUCAUUCAAAGAGUGCGUAAUAGCUCACUGGUCGAGUGAUCCUGCGCCGAAGAUUUCCGGGGCUAAAACUUACUACCGAAGCUACGGCAUCAGUAAUGAUGGGUAGGGGAGCUUCCCAUACGGGUUGAAGCAUGACCGUAAGGACAUGUGGACAGUAUGGGAGUGAGAAUGUUGGCAUGAGUAGCGAGAUGUGGGUGAGAAUCCCACAGGCCGUAAACCCAAGGUUUCCAGGGGAAGGUUCGUCCGCCCUGGGUUAGUCGGGACCUAAGCUGAGGCCGAAAGGCGUAGGUGAUGGACAACAGGUUGAUAUUCCUGUACUACCGAUAACCGUUUGAGAGAAGGGAUGACACAGUAGGAUAAGCUAAGCACACUGUUGGUUAUGUGUGCCCAAGCAUUGAGGCAGUCAAAGUAGGCAAAUCCGCUUUGAUAAUGCUGGGAUGUGAUGGGGAGCGAAAUUUAGUAGCGAAGUAGCUGAUUUCACACUGUCAAGAAAAGUCUCUAUCGAGGUUAAAGGUACCCGUACCGCAAACCGACACAGGUGGGUGAGGAGAGUAUCCUAAGGCCAGCGAGAGAACUGUUGUUAAGGAACUCGGCAAAAUGACCCCGUAACUUAGGGAUAAGGGGUGCCACCAUCAGGUGGCCGCAGAGAAUAGGCCCAAGCGACUGUUUACCAAAAACAUAGGUUUCUGCUAAGUCGCAAGACGAUGUAUAGGAGCUGACGCCUGCCCGGUGCUGGAAGGUUAAGGGGAUCUGUUAGAGCAAUCGAAGCAGUGAACUUAAGCCCCAGUAAACGGCGGCCGUAACUAUAACGGUCCUAAGGUAGCGAAAUUCCUUGUCGGGUAAGUUCCGACCCGCACGAAAGGCGUAACGAUUUGGGCACUGUCUCAACAACAGACUCGGUGAAAUUGUAAUUCCGGUGAAGAUGCCGGAUACCUGCGACAGGACGGAAAGACCCCAUGGAGCUUUACUGUAGCUUGACAUUGGGUCUUGGUACUACAUGUACAGGAUAGGUGGGAGGCUUUGAAACCAGGACGCCAGUUUUGGCGGAGCCAUCCUUGGGAUACCACCCUUGUAGUACUGGGACUCUAACCAUAGGCCAUGAAUCUGGUCUUGGGACACUGUCAGGUGGGCAGUUUGACUGGGGCGGUCGCCUCCCAAAAGGUAACGGAGGCGCUCAAAGGUUCUCUCAGUACGGUCGGAAAUCGUACGUAGAGUGUAAAGGCAAAAGAGAGCUUGAUUGCAAGACAUACAGGUCGAGCAAGGAUGAAAAUCGGACUUAGUGAUCCGGUGGUUCUGCGUGGAAGGGCCAUCGCUCAACGGAUAAAAGCUACCCUGGGGAUAACAGGCUUAUCUCCCCCAAGAGUCCACAUCGACGGGGAGGUUUGGCACCUCGAUGUCGGCUCAUCACAUCCUGGGGCUGUAGUAGGUCCCAAGGGUUGGGCUGUUCGCCCAUUAAAGUGGUACGCGAGCUGGGUUCAGAACGUCGUGAGACAGUUCGGUCCCUAUCCGUCGCAGGCGUAGGAAAUUUGAGAAGACCUGUCCUUAGUACGAGAGGACCGGGAUGGACGUACCUCUGGUGUACCAGUUGUCCUGCCAAGGGCAUGGCUGGGUAGCUAUGUACGGAAUGGAUAAGCGCUGAAAGCAUCUAAGCGCGAAGCCAACUUCAAGAUAAGAUUUCCCACCGCAAGGGUAAGACCCCAGAAAGACUAUCUGGUUGAUAGGUCGAAGGUGUAAGUGCAGCAAUGUAUUUAGCUUA